GAUGAACGCUGGCGGCGUGCCUAAUACAUGCAAGUCGAACGCGAGAGGAGGGAGCUUGCUCCCUCUGAUCGAGUGGCGGACGGGUGAGUAACACGUAGGCAACCUGCCCAUCAGCCGGGGAUAACUGCGGGAAACCGUGGCUAAUACCGGAUGAUCCUCCCCGCCGCGGGGUGGGGAGUUGAAAGACGGUUUCGGCUGUCGCUGAUGGAUGGGCCUGCGGCGCAUGAGCUGGUUGGCGGGGUAACGGCGCACCAAGGCAACGAUGCGUAACCGACAUGGGAGGGGGAUCGGCCACACUGGGACUGAGACACGGCCCAGACGCCUACGGGAGGCAGCAGUAGGGAAUCUUCCGCAAUGGACGCAAGUCUGACGGAGCAACGCCGCGUGAGUGAAGAAGGGUUUCGGCUCGUAAAACUCUGUUGUUAAGGAAGAACGCCAGGUAGAGUAACUGCUACCUGUGUGACGGUACUUAACCAGAAAGCCACGGCUAACUACGUGCCAGCAGCCGCAGUAA
RNAcentral lists this ribosomal RNA (514 nucleotides) under uncultured bacterium. Its description in RNAcentral is "partial 16S ribosomal RNA". It matches the Rfam family "Bacterial small subunit ribosomal RNA", at positions 28 to 523 of the family's 1533-position model. The record is from RNAcentral.